RNAcentral lists this unclassified non-coding RNA (355 nucleotides) under soil metagenome. RNAcentral describes it as "partial contains 5.8S ribosomal RNA, internal transcribed spacer 2, and large subunit ribosomal RNA". The stretch from base 1 to 120 matches the Rfam family "5.8S ribosomal RNA", at positions 35 to 154 of the family's 154-position model. The record is from RNAcentral.
GAUGAAGAACGCAGCGAAAUGCGAUAGGUAGUGUGAAUUGCAGAAUUCAGUGAAUCAUCGAAUCUUUGAACGCACAUUGCGCCUUCUAGUAUUCUGGGAGGCAUGCCUGUUUGAGCGUCAUUAAACCUCUCUCAAGUAUGAUUACUUGGAUGUGAAGGAAGAGUACCUUAAACUUAAGGAGUGUUCUCCUUUGAAAUUGAUUAGCAGAUGGUAAUGUUAUUAAAUCCCUGAUGUUGUAAGAAAUAACAGUGGUUUUGUAGACUAUUAUCUAGCUUUAAAUUAUAAUUUUUAUUAUGGUUGACCUCAAAUCAGGUAAGGAUACCCGCUGAACUUAAGCAUAUCAAUAAGCGGAGGA